UACGAAGGGUGCAAGCGUUGUUCGGAAUUACUGGGCGUAAAGGGCGCGUAGGCGGCUUUUUAAGUCAGACGUGAAAUCCCCCGGCUUAACCUGGGAACUGCGUCUGAUACUGGGAAGCUUGAGUUCGGGAGAGGGAUGUAGAAUUCCAGGUGUAGCGGUGAAAUGCGUAGAUAUCUGGAGGAAUACCGGUGGCGAAGGCGGCAUCCUGGACCGAAACUGACGCUGAGGCGCGAAAGCUAGGGGAGCAAACGGG
Molecule: ribosomal RNA, 253 nt
Filed under: uncultured bacterium
Lineage: Bacteria
Description: partial 16S ribosomal RNA
Rfam family: Bacterial small subunit ribosomal RNA
Source: RNAcentral